GAUGAACGCUGGCGGCGUGCCUAAUACAUGCAAGUCGAGCGAACAGAUGAGGAGCUUGCUCCUCUGACGUUAGCGGCGGACGGGUGAGUAACACGUGGAUAACCUACCUAUAAGACUGGGAUAACUUCGGGAAACCGGAGCUAAUACCGGAUAAUAUAUUGAACCGCAUGGUUCAAUAGUGAAAGACGGUUUUGCUGUCACUUAUAGAUGGAUCCGCGCCGCAUUAGCUAGUUGGUAAGGUAACGGCUUACCAAGGCAACGAUGCGUAGCCGACCUGAGAGGGGGAUCGGCCACACUGGAACUGAGACACGGUCCAGACUCCUACGGGAGGCAGCAGUAGGGAAUCUUCCGCAAUGGGCGAAAGCCUGACGGAGCAACGCCGCGUGAGUGAUGAAGGUCUUCGGAUCGUAAAACUCUGUUAUUAGGGAAGAACAAAUGUGUAAGUAACUAUGCACGUCUUGACGGUACCUAAUCAGAAAGCCACGGCUAACUACGG
Molecule: ribosomal RNA, 496 nt
Filed under: uncultured bacterium
Lineage: Bacteria
Description: partial 16S ribosomal RNA
Rfam family: Bacterial small subunit ribosomal RNA
Source: RNAcentral